This 22-nucleotide non-coding RNA is filed under the name Arabidopsis thaliana (thale cress). The record is from RNAcentral. Lineage: Eukaryota; Viridiplantae; Streptophyta; Magnoliopsida; Brassicales; Brassicaceae.
ACUAAAGAUCGGUAGGAAGUCA